UUAACCUGUGGUGAUUUGAGCCGACCGGCUUGCGGCCACGUAAAAAGCAUCGCUAAAAGGUCGGGAGG
This 68-nucleotide non-coding RNA is filed under the name marine eukaryotic metagenome. RNAcentral describes it as "SAM riboswitch (alpha-proteobacteria)". It matches the Rfam family "Alpha-proteobacteria SAM riboswitch aptamer", at positions 4 to 71 of the family's 79-position model. From Rfam's summary of the family: This family is a riboswitch found predominantly in alpha-proteobacteria that binds S-adenosyl methionine (SAM). This SAM riboswitch is located upstream of the metA and metC genes in Agrobacterium tumefaciens, and other methionine and SAM biosynthesis genes in other alpha-proteobacteria. The record is from RNAcentral.